UCCUCGGUAGCUCAGCUGGUAGAGCGGGUGGCUGUUAACCACUUGGUCGGGGGUUCGAGUCCCUCCCGAGGAGCCA
Molecule: transfer RNA, 76 nt
Filed under: Coxiella endosymbiont of Amblyomma americanum
Lineage: Bacteria; Pseudomonadati; Pseudomonadota; Gammaproteobacteria; Legionellales; Coxiellaceae
Also listed under: 1 other name
Description: tRNA-Asn (GTT) (tRNA-Asn-GTT-1-1)
Rfam family: tRNA
About the family: Transfer RNA (tRNA) molecules are approximately 80 nucleotides in length.
Source: RNAcentral